Cebus imitator (Panamanian white-faced capuchin) is the source of this 114-nucleotide long non-coding RNA. RefSeq lists it as uncharacterized. The transcript has 3 exons. Lineage: Eukaryota; Metazoa; Chordata; Mammalia; Primates; Cebidae. The record is from RefSeq and is a predicted model, not a curated record.
AUGGACACUUAGCUUGAGUAGAGCUUGCAGGACUAGAAGUUUCUCUGGGUGAGUCAGUGAGUGAGUGGUGGGUGAAUGUGAAGGCCUAGGAUAUUACCAUACACUAUUGUAGAC